CGUAGGUGGCAAGCGUUGUCCGGAUUUAUUGGGUUUAAAGGGUGCGUAGGCGGCCCUGUAAGUCAGUGCUGAAAUAUCCCGGCUUAACCGGGAGGUGGCAUUGAUACUGCAGGGCUUGAGUAAAGUUGAGGUUGGCGGAAUUGACGGUGUAGCGGUGAAAUGCUUAGAUAUCGUCAAGAACACCGAUAGUGAAGACAGCUAACUAAGCUUUAACUGACGCUGAGGCACGAAAGUGUGGGGAUCAAACAGGAUUAGAUACCCUGGUAGUCCACACUGUAAACGUUGAUUACUCGAUGUUGGCGAUACACAGUCAGCGUCUUAGCGCAAGCGAUAAGUAAUCCACCUGGGGAGUACGCCGGCAACGGUGA
Molecule: ribosomal RNA, 368 nt
Filed under: uncultured organism
Description: bacterial SSU rRNA
Rfam family: Bacterial small subunit ribosomal RNA
Source: RNAcentral